Molecule: ribosomal RNA, 427 nt
Filed under: uncultured bacterium
Lineage: Bacteria
Description: bacterial SSU rRNA
Rfam family: Bacterial small subunit ribosomal RNA
Source: RNAcentral
AGCGAACGCUGGCGGCAGGCUUAACACAUGCAAGUCGAGCGGGCGUAGCAAUACGUCAGCGGCAGACGGGUGAGUAACGCGUGGGAACGUACCUUUUGGUUCGGAACAACCCAGGGAAACUUGGGCUAAUACCGGAUAAGCCCUUACGGGGAAGAUUUAUCGCCGAAAGAUCGGCCCGCGUCUGAUUAGCUAGUUGGUGAGGUAACGGCUCACCAAGGCGACGAUCAGUAGCUGGUCUGAGAGGAUGAUCAGCCACAUUGGGACUGAGACACGGCCCAAACUCCUACGGGAGGCAGCAGUGGGGAAUAUUGGACAAUGGGCGCAAGCCUGAUCCAGCCAUGCCGCGUGAGUGAUGAAGGCCCUAGGGUUGUAAAGCUCUUUUGUGCGGGAAGAUAAUGACGGUACCGCAAGAAUAAGCCCCGGCUAA